RNAcentral lists this ribosomal RNA (872 nucleotides) under uncultured bacterium. RNAcentral describes it as "bacterial SSU rRNA". It matches the Rfam family "Bacterial small subunit ribosomal RNA", at positions 637 to 1506 of the family's 1533-position model. The record is from RNAcentral.
GUGGCUAGAGUGUGUAGAGGUCACGGGAAUCCUGGUGUAGCGUGAAAUGCGUAGAUAUCAGGAGGACACCGGUGGCGAAAGCGCGUGACUGGGCCACAACUGACGCUGAGGAACGAAAGCCAGGGGAGCAAAAGGGAUUAGAUACCCCUGUAGUCCUGGCCGUAAACGAUGGAUACUAGGUGUUGGAGGAUUCGACCCCCUCAGUGCCGUAGCUAACGCGAUAAGUAUCCCGCCUGGGGAGUACGACCGCAAGGUUGAAACUCAAAGGAAUUGACGGGGGCCCGCACAAGCGGUGGAACAUGUGGUUUAAUUCGAUGCAACGCGAAGAACCUUACCUGGGCUUGACAUCUACGGAACCUUCACGAAAGUGAGGGGUGCCUUCGGGAGCCGUAAGACAGGUGGUGCACGGUUGUCGUUAGCUCGUGUCGUGAGAUGUUGGGUUAAGUCCCGCAACGAGCGCAACCCUCGUAGUCUGUUGUUACAGGUCGUAAGAUGCUGAACCCUCAGGCCAGACUGCCGGUGACAAACCGGAGGAAGGUGGGGAUGACGUCAAAUCAUCACGCCCCUUAUGUCCAGGGCUACACACGUGUUACAAUGGGAAGCGGACAAUGGGUCGCUUGGCAGCAAUGUCUGGCAAAUCCUCAAACCGCCCCUCAGUUCGGAUCGGAGUCUGCAAUUCGACUCCGUGAAGUCGGAAUCGCUAGUAAACGCAGAUCAGCACGCUGCGUUGAAUACGUUCCCGGGCCUUGUACACACCGCCCGUCACACCACGAAAGAGGGUUAUGCCCGAAGUCGGUGUCCUAACCGUAAGGAGGGAGCCGCCUAAGGUGGAACUCUUGAUUGGGGUGAAGUCGUAACAAGGUAACCAAGGG